RNAcentral lists this ribosomal RNA (306 nucleotides) under uncultured bacterium. Its description in RNAcentral is "partial 16S ribosomal RNA". It matches the Rfam family "Bacterial small subunit ribosomal RNA", at positions 507 to 807 of the family's 1533-position model. The record is from RNAcentral.
GACAGCAGCAGCCGCGGUAAUACGAAGGGGGCUAGCGUUGCUCGGAAUCACUGGGCGUAAAGGGUGCGUAGGCGGGUCUUUAAGUCAGGGGUGAAAUCCUGGAGCUCAACUCCAGAACUGCCUUUGAUACUGAAGAUCUUGAGUUCGGGAGAGGUGAGUGGAACUGCGAGUGUAGAGGUGAAAUUCGUAGAUAUUCGCAAGAACACCAGUGGCGAAGGCGGCUCACUGGCCCGAUACUGACGCUGAGGCACGAAAGCGUGGGGAGCAAACAGGAUUAGAUACCCCUGUAGUCCCUGUCUCUUAUAC